This 414-nucleotide ribosomal RNA is filed under the name uncultured bacterium. RNAcentral describes it as "bacterial SSU rRNA". It matches the Rfam family "Bacterial small subunit ribosomal RNA", at positions 355 to 786 of the family's 1533-position model. The record is from RNAcentral.
UGGGGAAUAUUGCACAAUGGGGGAAACCCUGAUGCAGCGACGCCGCGUGGAGGAAGAAGGUCUUCGGAUUGUAAACUCCUGUCCCAGGGGACGAUAAUGACGGUACCCUGGGAGGAAGCACCGGCUAACUACGUGCCAGCAGCCGCGGUAAAACGUAGGGUGCAAGCGUUGUCCGGAAUUACUGGGUGUAAAGGGAGCGCAGGCGGAUUGGCAAGUUGGGAGUGAAAUCUAUGGGCUCAACCCAUAAAUUGCUUUCAAAACUGUCAGUCUUGAGUGGUGUAGAGGUAGGCGGAAUUCCCGGUGUAGCGGUGGAAUGCGUAGAUAUCGGGAGGAACACCAGUGGCGAAGGCGGCCUACUGGGCACUAACUGACGCUGAGGCUCGAAAGCAUGGGUAGCAAACAGGAUUAGAUACC